GGACCCGCGUCGCAUUAGCUAGUUGGUGAGGUAACGGCUCACCAAGGCAACGAUGCGUAGCCGACCUGAGAGGGUGAUCGGCCACACUGGGACUGAGACACGGCCCAGACUCCUACGGGAGGCAGCAGUAGGGAAUCUUCCGCAAUGGACGAAAGUCUGACGGAGCAACGCCGCGUGAGUGAUGAAGGCUUUCGGGUCGUAAAACUCUGUUGUUAGGGAAGAACAAGUGCUAGUUGAAUAAGCUGGCACCUUGACGGUACCUAACCAGAAAGCCACGGCUAACUACGUGCCAGCAGCCGCGGUAAUACGUAGGUGGCAAGCGUUAUCCGGAAUUAUUGGGCGUAAAGCGCGCGCAGGUGGUUUCUUAAGUCUGAUGUGAAAGCCCACGGCUCAACCGUGGAGGGUCAUUGGAAACUGGGAGACUUGAGUGCAGA
This 434-nucleotide ribosomal RNA is filed under the name Bacillus sp. LIPOA/UEL_16. RNAcentral's name for it is "bacterial SSU rRNA". It matches the Rfam family "Bacterial small subunit ribosomal RNA", at positions 227 to 652 of the family's 1533-position model. The record is from RNAcentral. Lineage: Bacteria; Bacillati; Bacillota; Bacilli; Caryophanales; Bacillaceae.